RNAcentral lists this ribosomal RNA (442 nucleotides) under uncultured bacterium. Its description in RNAcentral is "bacterial SSU rRNA". It matches the Rfam family "Bacterial small subunit ribosomal RNA", at positions 29 to 507 of the family's 1533-position model. The record is from RNAcentral.
AACGAACGCUGGCGGCAUGCCUAACACAUGCAAGUCGAACGGGAUCCAGGCUUCGGCCUGGUGAGAGUGGCGGACGGGUGAGUAACACGUGGGAACCUGCCUUUUGGUUCGGGAUAACCGCGGGAAACUGCGGCUAAUACCGAAUGCUCCCGAGAGGGGAAAGAUUUAUCGCCAGAAGAGGGGCCCGCGUCCGAUUAGGUAGUUGGUGGGGUAAUGGCCUACCAAGCCGACGAUCGGUAGCUGGUCUGAGAGGAUGAUCAGCCACACUGGGACUGAGAUACGGCCCAGACUCCUACGGGAGGCAGCAGUGGGGAAUAUUGGACAAUGGGGCAACCCUGAUCCAGCAAUGCCGCGUGAGUGAUGAAGGCCUUAGGGUUGUAAAGCUCUUUUGCCAGGGAAGAUGAUGACUGUACCUGGAGAAUAAGCCCCGGCUAACUUCGUG